Molecule: transfer RNA, 74 nt
Filed under: Nitrososphaerota archaeon
Lineage: Archaea; Thermoproteati; Nitrososphaerota
Description: tRNA-Thr
Rfam family: tRNA
About the family: Transfer RNA (tRNA) molecules are approximately 80 nucleotides in length. Their secondary structure includes four short double-helical elements and three loops (D, anti-codon, and T loops). Further hydrogen bonds mediate the characteristic L-shaped molecular structure. tRNAs have two regions of fundamental functional importance: the anti-codon, which is responsible for specific mRNA codon recognition, and the 3' end, to which the tRNAs corresponding amino acid is attached (by aminoacyl-tRNA synthetases). tRNAs cope with the degeneracy of the genetic code in two manners: having more than one tRNA (with a specific anti-codon) for a particular amino acid; and 'wobble' base-pairing, i.e. permitting non-standard base-pairing at the 3rd anti-codon position.
Source: RNAcentral
GCCCCAGUAGCUCAGCCCGGUGGAGCAAUCGCCUCGUAAGCGAUAGGUCGGGGGUCCGAAUCCCCCCUGGGGCU